RNAcentral lists this ribosomal RNA (498 nucleotides) under uncultured soil bacterium. RNAcentral's name for it is "bacterial SSU rRNA". It matches the Rfam family "Bacterial small subunit ribosomal RNA", at positions 26 to 515 of the family's 1533-position model. The record is from RNAcentral.
AGAUUGAACGCUGGCGGAAUGCUUUACACAUGCAAGUCGAGCGGCAGCGCGGGGGCAACCCUGGCGGCGAGCGGCGAACGGGUGAGUAAUACAUCGGAACAUGUCCGGUUGUGGGGGAUAACCUGGCGAAAGCCAGGCUAAUACCGCAUGAGCUCGAGAGAGGAAAGCGGGGGACCGUAAGGCCUCGCGCGACCGGGUUGGCCGAUGUCCGAUUAGCUAGUUGGUGGGGUAAAGCCUACCAAGCGAUGAUCGGUGGCUGGUCUGAGAGGAUGAUCAGCCACACUGGGACUGAGACACGGCCCAGACUCCUACGGGAGGCAGCAGUGGGGAAUUUGGACAAUGGGGGCAACCCUGAUCCAGCCAUUCCGCGUGAGUGAAGAAGGCCUGGGUGUAAAGCGUCUUUGUCCGAGCGAAACGUAUGGCAAUACCACUGACACUGACGGUAACCGAAGGAAAUAAAGACAACCGGACUAAACGUACCGUAGCCAAGCGAGCCGC